UCGUCACAGAAUAGCUUGAGUGAAAAGUUGGUCGAAUUACCUUUUCUGAUCACAAUAACGUGAGGGGUAUGGAGGGCGAUAAGCGUAUACCUUUCGAGGAAUGAACACGAGUGGUGCGAAUUGGGGUCCGGGCGCGGAAGGAUGUGGCUGCGGCCGAUUAGGUAGACGGUGGGGUAACGGCCCACCGUGCCAAUAAUCGGUAUGGGUCAUGAGAGUGAGAACCCAGAGACGGAAUCUGAGACAAGAUUCCGGGCCCUACGGGGCGCAGCAGGCGCGAAACCUUUACACUGCACGACAGUGCGAUAGGGGGAUCCCAAGUGCACAGGCAUAGGGGCUGUGCUUUUUGGUACCCUAAGGCGGUACCAGAAUAAGGGCUGGGCAAGACCGGUGCCAGCCGCCGUGGUAAUACCG
RNAcentral lists this ribosomal RNA (411 nucleotides) under halophilic archaeon SC6. Its description in RNAcentral is "bacterial SSU rRNA". It matches the Rfam family "Archaeal small subunit ribosomal RNA", at positions 75 to 478 of the family's 1478-position model. The record is from RNAcentral. Lineage: Archaea; Methanobacteriati; Methanobacteriota; Halobacteria; Halobacteriales; Halobacteriaceae.